UACGGGGGGAGCAAGCGUUGUUCGGAUUUACUGGGCGUAAAGCGCACGUAGGCGGAUUUGUAAGUCAGGGGUGAAAUCCCGGGGCUCAACCCCGGAACUGCCUUUGAUACUGCAAAUCUCGAGUUCGGAAGAGGUGAGUGGAAUUCCUAGUGUAGAGGUGAAAUUCGUAGAUAUUAGGAAGAACACCAGUGGCGAAGGCGGCUCACUGGCUCAUAUCUGACGCUCAGGCGCGACAGCGUGGGGAGCAAACAGG
Molecule: ribosomal RNA, 253 nt
Filed under: uncultured bacterium
Lineage: Bacteria
Description: partial 16S ribosomal RNA
Rfam family: Bacterial small subunit ribosomal RNA
Source: RNAcentral